RNAcentral lists this ribosomal RNA (253 nucleotides) under uncultured bacterium. RNAcentral describes it as "partial 16S ribosomal RNA". It matches the Rfam family "Bacterial small subunit ribosomal RNA", at positions 524 to 776 of the family's 1533-position model. The record is from RNAcentral.
UACGUAGGUGGCAAGCGUUGUCCGGAUUUACUGGGCGUAAAGAGCGCGCAGGCGGUCGGAUAAGUCGAAUGUGAAAGCCCCCGGCUCAACUGGGGAGGGUCAUUCGAUACUGUUCGACUCGAAGGCAGGAGAGGGAAGUGGAAUUCCUGGUGUAGCGGUGAAAUGCGCAGAUAUCAGGAGGAACACCGGUGGCGAAGGCGGGUCUCUGGGCCGUAACUGACGCUGAGGAGCGAAAGCGUGGGGAGCGAACAGG